UGGGGAAUAUUGGACAAUGGGCGCAAGCCUGAUCCAGCAAUGCCGCGUGUGUGAAGAAGGCCUGCGGGUUGUAAAGCACUUUAAGCAGGAAAGAAGGGUGGGGUGUUAAUACCAUCUCACAUUGACGUUACCUGCAGAAUAAGCACCGGCUAACUCCGUGCCAGCAGCCGCGGUAAUACGGAGGGUGCGAGCGUUAAUCGGAAUUACUGGGCGUAAAGCGUGCGUAGGCGGUUGGAUAAGUCUGAUGUGAAAGCCCUGGGCUUAACCUGGGAAUGGCAUUGGAUACUGUCGGACUGGAGUGUGGUAGAGGGUAGUGGAAUUUCCGGUGUAGCAGUGAAAUGCGUAGAGAUCGGAAGGAACACCAGUGGCGAAGGCGGCUACCUGGACCAACACUGACGCUGAGGUACGAAAGCGUGGGGAGCAAACAGG
This 429-nucleotide ribosomal RNA is filed under the name uncultured bacterium. RNAcentral's name for it is "bacterial SSU rRNA". It matches the Rfam family "Bacterial small subunit ribosomal RNA", at positions 355 to 776 of the family's 1533-position model. The record is from RNAcentral.